RNAcentral lists this ribosomal RNA (301 nucleotides) under uncultured bacterium. Its description in RNAcentral is "bacterial SSU rRNA". It matches the Rfam family "Bacterial small subunit ribosomal RNA", at positions 335 to 651 of the family's 1533-position model. The record is from RNAcentral.
CGUCCUACGGGAGGCAGCAGUGGGGAAUAUUGGGCAAUGGGCGCAAGCCUGACCCAGCAACGCCGCGUGAAGGAAGAAGGCUUUCGGGUUGUAAACUUCUUUUAAGGGGGAAGAGGAGAAGACGGUACCCCUUGAAUAAGCCACGGCUAACAACGUGCCAGCAGCCGCGGUACUACGUAGGUGGCAAGCGUUGUCCGUAUUUACUGGGUGUAAAGUGCGUGCAGCCGGGAGGACAAGUCAGAUGUGAAAUCCCGCGGCUCAACCUCGGAACUGCAUUUGAAACUGUUUUUCUUGAGUUCCG